ACCCUCCAGUUCCCUUUCCCAUCGGAUCUGAACACUGGUCUUGGUGGUCGUAAAAGGAGGAAGAGGAAUACUGAAGCUGGCCUCACAGUGUUGUAGCCUGGUAGUACAGCAUGUGGGCUGGUUUCUAACAGGU
This 133-nucleotide small nucleolar RNA is filed under the name Carlito syrichta (Philippine tarsier). Its description in RNAcentral is "Small nucleolar RNA SNORA61 (ENSTSYG00000022339.2)". It matches the Rfam family "Small nucleolar RNA SNORA61". From Rfam's summary of the family: ACA61 is a member of the H/ACA class of snoRNA that guide the sites of modification of uridines to pseudouridines. Lineage: Eukaryota; Metazoa; Chordata; Mammalia; Primates; Tarsiidae. The record is from Rfam by way of RNAcentral.